Molecule: unclassified non-coding RNA, 309 nt
Filed under: plant metagenome
Description: partial contains 5.8S ribosomal RNA, internal transcribed spacer 2, and large subunit ribosomal RNA
Rfam family: 5.8S ribosomal RNA (bases 1-105)
Source: RNAcentral
GAAAUGCGAUAAGUAAUGUGAAUUGCAGAAUUCAGUGAAUCAUCGAAUCUUUGAACGCACAUUGCGCCCGCCAGUAUUCUGGCGGGCAUGCCUGUUCGAGCGUCAUUUCAACCAUCAAGCCCCCGGGCUUGUGUUGGGGACCUGCGGCUGCCGCAGGCCCCGAAAACCAGUGGCGGGCUCGCUGUCACACCGGGCGUAGUAGAUUUUUCGUCUCGCCCAGGGCGUGCUGCGGGUUCCGGCCGUUAAAAAGCCUCUCUUUUAACCCAAGGUUGACCUCGGAUCAGGUAUAAAGACCCGCUGAACUUAGGC